GUCUUUGAGAGUGAGGGGUGGUCGUCACAUCCCGGACGAGCCCCCAAAUGUAAGGUCCUGAGUGC
Procavia capensis (Cape rock hyrax) is the source of this 65-nucleotide microRNA precursor. The record is from Ensembl. Lineage: Eukaryota; Metazoa; Chordata; Mammalia; Hyracoidea; Procaviidae.